Molecule: transfer RNA, 44 nt
Filed under: Canis lupus (wolf)
Lineage: Eukaryota; Metazoa; Chordata; Mammalia; Carnivora; Canidae
Also listed under: 1 other name
Description: partial tRNA-Ile
Source: RNAcentral
AGAAAUAUGUCUGAUAAAAGAGUUACUUUGAUAGAGUAAAUAAU